Molecule: ribosomal RNA, 253 nt
Filed under: uncultured bacterium
Lineage: Bacteria
Description: partial 16S ribosomal RNA
Rfam family: Bacterial small subunit ribosomal RNA
Source: RNAcentral
UACGAAGGGGGCUAGCGUUGCUCGGAAUCAUUGGGCGUAAAGGGCGCGUAGGUGGCGGGACAAGCGUGCGGUGAAAGCCUGGGGCUCAACCCCGGGUCGGCCGUGCGAACUGUUUUGCUUGAGCACUGUAGAGGCAGGCGGAAUUCCGGGUGUAGCGGUGGAAUGCGUAGAGAUCCGGAAGAACACCGGUGGCGAAGGCGGCCUGCUGGGCAGUAGCUGACACUGAGGCGCGACAGCGUGGGGAGCAAACAGG